RNAcentral lists this ribosomal RNA (491 nucleotides) under Clonostachys rosea. RNAcentral's name for it is "eukaryotic LSU rRNA". The stretch from base 123 to 276 matches the Rfam family "5.8S ribosomal RNA". Lineage: Eukaryota; Fungi; Ascomycota; Sordariomycetes; Hypocreales; Bionectriaceae. The record is from RNAcentral.
CUACUGUUGCUUCGGCGGGAUUGCCCCGGGCGCCUCGUGUGCCCCGGAUCAGGCGCCCGCCUAGGAAACUUAAUUCUUGUUUUAUUUUGGAAUCUUCUGAGUAGUUUUUACAAAUAAAUAAAAACUUUCAACAACGGAUCUCUUGGUUCUGGCAUCGAUGAAGAACGCAGCGAAAUGCGAUAAGUAAUGUGAAUUGCAGAAUUCAGUGAAUCAUCGAAUCUUUGAACGCACAUUGCGCCCGCCAGUAUUCUGGCGGGCAUGCCUGUCUGAGCGUCAUUUCAACCCUCAUGCCCCUAGGGCGUGGUGUUGGGGAUCGGCCAAAGCCCGCGAGGGACGGCCGGCCCCUAAAUCUAGUGGCGGACCCGUCGUGGCCUCCUCUGCGAAGUAGUGAUAUUCCGCAUCGGAGAGCGACGAGCCCCUGCCGUUAAACCCCCAACUUUCCAAGGUUGACCUCAGAUCAGGUAGGAAUACCCGCUGAACUUAAGCAUAUC